GGAGUGAAAGAGUGAGUGUAAGUGGAAAGAGGUGAUAUUGUAUGAGAGUGUGACAGACAGAAUGAGAUCCGAAAACCAGAUCAACUGAAUCUAACAGAGGAAUGUGACCAUGCAGAAGGUAAAGGAGGAGUGUGACCACGCAGGAGGUAAAGGAGGAGUGUGACCACACAGAAGGUAAAGGAGGAGUGUGACCACGCAGAAGGUAAAGGAGGAGUGUGACCACGCAGAAGGUAAAGGAGGAGUGUGACCACGCAGAAGGUAAAGGAGGAGUGUGACCAUGCAGAAGGUAAAGGAGGAGUGUGACCAUGCAGAAGGUAAAGGAGGAGUGUGACCAUGCAGAAGGUAAAGGUGGAGUGUGACCAUGCAGAAGGUAAAGGAGGAGUGUGACCAUGCAGAAGGUAAAGGAGGAGUGUGACCAUGCAGAAGGUAAAGGUGGAGUGUGACCAUGCAGAAGGUAAAGGAGGAGUGUGACCAUGCAGAAGGUAAAGGUGGAGUGUGACCAUGCAGAAGGUAAAGGAGGAGUGUGACCAUGCAGAAGGUAAAGGUGGAGUGUGACCAUGCAGAAGGUAAAGGAGGAGUGUGACCAUGCAGAAGGUAAAGGAGGAGUGUGACCACGCAGAAGGUAAAGGAGGAGUGUGACCACGCAGAAGGUAAAGGAGGAGUGUGACCACGCAGAAGGUAAAGGAGGAGUGUGACCACGCAGAAGGUAAAGGAGGAGUGUGACCACGCAGAAGGUAAAGGAGGAGUGUGACCACGCAGAAGGUAAAGGAGGAGUGUGACCAUGCAGAAGGUAAAGGAGGAGUGUGACCAUGCAGAAGGUAAAGGAGGAGUGUGACCAUGCAGAAGGUAAAGGAGGAGUGUGACCACGCAGAAGGUAAAGGAGGAGUGUGACCACGCAGAAGGUAAAGGAGGAGUGUGACCACGCAGAAGGUAAAGGAGGAGUGUGACCACGCAGAAGGUAAAGGAGGAGUGUGACCACGCAGAAGGUAAAGGAGGAGUGUGACCACGCAGAAGGUAAAGGUGGAGUGUGACCAUGCAGAAGGUAAAGGUGGAGUGUGACCAUGCAGAAGGUAAAGGAGGAGUGUGACCAUGCAGAAGGUAAAGGUGGAGUGUGACCAUGCAGAAGGUAAAGGAGGAGUGUGACCAUGCAGAAGGUAAAGGUGGAGUGUGACCAUGCAGAAGGUAAAGGUGGAGUGUGACCAUGCAGAAGGUAAAGGUGGAGUGUGACCAUGCAGAAGGUAAAGGUGGAGUGUGACCAUGCAGAAGGUAAAGGUGGAGUGUGACCAUGCAGAAGGUAAAGGAGGAGUGUGACCAUGCAGAAGGUAAAGGUGGAGUGUGACCAUGCAGAAGGUAAAGGAGGAGUGUGACCAUGCAGAAGGUAAAGGUGGAGUGUGACCAUGCAGAAGGUAAAGGUGGAGUGUGACCAUGCAGAAGGUAAAGGUGGAGUGUGACCAUGCAGAAGGUAAAGGAGGAGUGUGACCAUGCAGAAGGUAAAGGAGGAGUGUGACCAUGCAGAAGGUAAAGGAGGAGUGUGACCAUGCAGAAGGUAAAGGUGGAGUGUGACCAUGCAGAAGGUAAAGGUGGAGUGUGACCAUGCAGAAGGUAAAGGAGGAGUGUGACCAUGCAGAAGGUAAAGGAGGAGUGUGACCAUGCAGAAGGUAUGGGUGGAGUGUGACCAUGCAGAAGGUAAAGGUGGAGUGUGACCAUGCAGAAGGUAAAGGUGGAGUGUGACCAUGCAGAAGGUAAAGGAGGAGUGUGACCAUGCAGAAGGUAAAGGAGGAGUGUGACCAUGCAGAAGGUAAAGGUGGAGUGUGACCAUGCAGAAGGUAUGGGUGGAGUGUGACCAUGCAGAAGGUAUGGGUGGAGUGUGACCAUGCAGAAGGUAUGGGUGGAGUGUGACCAUGCAGAAGGUAAAGGUGGAGUGUGACCAUGCAGAAGGUAAAGGAGGAGUGUGACCAUGCAGAAGGUAUGGGUGGAGUGUGACCAUGCAGAAGGUAAAGGAGGAGUGUGACCAUGC
Long non-coding RNA from Oncorhynchus keta (chum salmon), 2017 nucleotides. RefSeq lists it as uncharacterized. Lineage: Eukaryota; Metazoa; Chordata; Actinopteri; Salmoniformes; Salmonidae. The transcript has 7 exons. The record is from RefSeq and is a predicted model, not a curated record.